GCCGGGCAUGGUGGCUCUUGCCUGUAAUCCCAGCAACUGAGGAGGCUGAGGCAGGAGGACUUCAAGUUUGGGGCCAGCCUCAGCAACUUGGUGAGACUCUGUCUCAA
RNAcentral lists this small RNA (107 nucleotides) under Marmota monax (woodchuck). The record is from RNAcentral. Lineage: Eukaryota; Metazoa; Chordata; Mammalia; Rodentia; Sciuridae.